UCCAGGCCUGGCUCAGACGAAGACCCUCAACACUUCCCCACCCUCCCCUCUAGAAGUCUGCAUCCUGGAGCCCCUGGUGGAGAGCUGGACAAAGACUCCGAUGGCUUGGUCAGUUGGGCCCCUUUGCCUGCCUCUGGCACCUUCCGCUGGCCUUAGCAUGCCUCACCCUUUCAUGAGUCCUCAGCCCCAACUUGUUCUGCAUGUCCUCUCCUGUGGCUUUUGCUCCCUCAAUUCCGGAUCCCUCAUCCACCCCACCACUGGCUCCAGGGUGUACGUUCAGAGAUCAGCCAGGUGUCCACAGCCUCACCCUCCCCACAGAGGAGUCCCUCUGCUCCCCAGGGCGCAGCCCUGUCUGAGGACCUCCCUGCCCUGAGCUCCUAAUCCAGGUGACUCCUCACUGCAGGCUUCUGCAGGACCCUCCAUCUGGCUUGACUUGAGAACCCUCUCCCAGGGCUUUUCCACCUCUUCCCUGCCAGCCCAUCAAUCCACUCCUUUAACUGGCACCAGCACCGCGGUGUCCAUGAAGGGGCCCAUACACUGCAAGCCAGCACCCUCCCAGUGUCCACAGGCACUUCUGCUGUGGCCUGCCCAAGGCCAAGUCCAUCCUCCCCACAAACCUGCUGCUCCUGCGUUAUCUCCGUCAACGGUACCUACCCCAGCCACUCAGGCCAGAAAUGGGGCUGUCCUCUCUCCUCUCUCAUCCUCCCUCACUCUCCCUGCUCACCUUCCCCUGCCUCCUAAGGCCUUCUCCUGCUCACCUGUCAGCUCGCCACCAGCCCUCUGCCUGGCCCCAGGUGUGUUUCCCAAACACUGAUCACACCACUCGCAUCCUUCAAACCCUCUGAUGGUCGCCAGCAGGAUGAAGUCCACAUUCCUUGUCUGGCACACAGGCCCUGCUGACUGCCAGCUGGCUGCUCCAGCUGGCCUCCUGCUGUCUCCUUGCCCCUCAACCCCCAGGUCUGACCUUGCACAGCCCGAGCCACAGGGGGGCCCCACUUCCCAGGUGGGGAUGCGCACUGCCUUCUCAGCCACCUAGGCCCCUUCGUGGGGUCCACAUCACCCUGCCAGCAGCUGCCCGCUCAGCACUGCUACUGUCAGUCACUCUGCUUGUCCACAUGCUGAGCACCCGGCAGGCACUGCGGCUCCCCUCCCCCACCUCCUUGAGCAGGUGCAGCUCCUCAUUCAGCAUGCCCUGCCCAUCAGGGCUCUAAGCAUGCAGGAUCCUGCUCAGCGUCAGCUCACAGACCCAUCAGUAGUUCACGCCGAGGAGGAAACAUGGAGCAAUCGCAUGCUGAAAGAGAAUGUCAGCCGAGACAGGAGGAGCUCAGGGAUAGCGGCCGAGAGAAAUGUGCAAGGACAGUAUUUUCUUGAGGAGUUCAAGGAAGACAAACUCUUGGCUAGCUAACCCUUGGGGGCGGCUCCCUGGGGACAUUAGAGUCUAGAGGGUUGGGUCAGGGGCAGGGCAAGGGCCAGGAGGGCGGCAAUGUAGGGCAGAGGCCCUGACUGCAAGAGGAAAGGCCAAGGGCCGCUCACGGGUGAGGGCUUGGGCCUGUCCUGGAGGUGACGGGAACUUUGGCAGGGGCCACAGCUGGGUUUGUGUUUAGGAAGAUGAGUCUAGCAACAGGACCUCCAGGAGAAGGUGUGGGGGUGCCAACAGGUGAAGAAAGCAGAGAGGAAGCUGUUGAGAUGUGCUACAGGGGAGCUAGGAGCAGAUACAGACGGGGCCCAGGGCCAGGGGCAGGAGGCAGCUUGCGGUGCUACAGAGGGAUCCAGCGGGCCAUUCCCACCAACGGAGCUUGGCCUGCCAUCUGCUGCUUCCUACCCAGGGAGGGAGAAGGGGUAGCUUAUGCUCUGACUGGGUGGGGAGUGUGUAGCAGGUGCUCACACUGAUUCCCGAGGCUGAAUGGAGCCCAGCAAUUGUGAGGUCAGCCACGCUGAUUUUUCAGGUGAGGAGGGACACAGCCCACAUCAUCCAGGAGCUGCCUGCUCCCAUCAGCUAGGCCCUGGUGUUCUCCUGCUUAGAAUAUAAACGAUUUCAUACAACACCAGCGUCAGACAAGGCUCCUCUGUGAGUGAGAUGGGUCAAGACAAGAAGAUCCCUCGGUAAACAUGGCUGAACACAGACAAAACAUGCGCUUUGUCCAGACCAUAAAGAAGACCAACAGUGCCCCGUCCUGCCUUCUCUGAGCGGCUGCUGCCUCUUCACAGUUGACAGCUCUAGCUCGCCUCUGGUCUGUCCUCCCUCCAGAGAAGAUGUGUGGAGAUACUGUCACAGAAUUCCUCCCCCUCCUGGCAGCAUCCAGAGCAAAGCCCAGCUUCCUUAAGCCCUUCCCCAUUCACCCAAACAAGCCAAAUGCCAUAGGAAGUCCUUCCUAGCACGCCCUUCCUGUGACUCCAUGUGGCUCCCCAUGGCGUGUGGGCUCCCUCACCACGAUAAGCAGUAAGCCUGACUUGUUCGACUGCAGACGUGUCCAGUGGGCUUCCGCUGGAGAGCGCUGACACAGUAACUAUACUAAGGCUAAAGAAAGUUAAUUCUUCAAUCAAAAAUGUCUAUUCACAUAAGUAAUCAUUAAACCCAUGCUUGUUUUCAAGAUGAAAUGACAAGAAGUGUCCAUGUCUCCAUCACAUUCCCUGCUGUGGAAAGCGUCACUGUCAUCAGUGCCUGUUGAAAACCACAGAGAGAAGCCAGCACAGGACCCCAGCUCGCUUAACACCCAGCGCAAGUGCCCUGUGCCACCUGCCUUCUGGCUAACCAGGGCUACCGUUCAGUGGCUCUGACCUGGAAGUGCCUUCAGAACAGAGACUGUUGCGUUUUAACACACAGGCCAGCACCUAGUCCAGGGACAGCCACACCAUACAUGUCAACCAUGGAAUGAAUGAAUGAACUUUAUCUAACACAAGCCGCACAAGCACCGCCUGUCCCAGGACCAGGGAGAGAGAAUGUGGCAGCCUUCUGGACUUUGGCUCGGCAUCAACAUCAGCGGUGAGGCACUUCAGGAGUGCAGGCGGCAAAACUCAAAGCCCAGGGGAAUGUAUGGAGGCACAUUUGGGGGAAGCAGGUGGAAGAAAGAGAUGCUGCAUGGCAGGGGGUCGGGGGGAGCUGUGGGUGGUGAGGGCAGUGUGGACAGCUGUCGGGGGAAAGUCAAGGAGUAUGAACUCCAUACUGCAGGCAGUGAUGAACCAUGGACCCUUCCAGGGAAGAGCCUGGAAGAGGUUUGAGCACAGGCAGGAAGAUCAGCAAGGACUAUAGUCACGCUGCAGGCAGGAAGGGCCUGCACUGGGGGGCAUUGAGGGGAGCUGGUCCCAGCACUGCAGCUCCCAAGGCAGCCCCUUCCCCAUCGGGGCCCAGACGCUGCAUCCCAGGCAGCAGGAUGGCUCGGCCCCAUCUGCCACCAAAACAUUCUAUGUUUCUCGAAUGUCUUCUUUGUCUCAGGCUUAUCAGGCAUUGGAGACCUUUCAGAAUGUCCAAAAUGCAAACAACCCCCCCCCCCACUACCACCCACACACUGCAACUUCUUGACUCCCAUGCUCACUACGGAAGAGCGUCUCUUGUCCGCAUGGGUGCUCACUCCUCUGGACCCACUUCACAUCAUCCUCAUCUCCUCCCUUGCCAUUGCAACUUCCAGCCUUUCGGCUCCUGUGCAGCAGCCUGUGCCCUCUACUCUCCUCCAUCCCACUUCGGCCUGCUUUCUGCUGUUAUCCAGCAGCUUGCUGGCGCUGGGAGGACUCUAGCGCCAGGCUCCAAAUCCUCCUCUCUACCCCAGUUGCUCUCAUGACCCUUGGGCAUUCAGCUUCUGUCUUCUGAACCCCUCUCACCUCGAUGCCCUUCUCUCGAGUCAAGACCAGGAUCAUGUCUGCAGCAGAUCCCAACUUGUCCUCAGCACUGCAGACAGGGAUGAUGUCACUCCCCUGCUUAAACUCCUUCAGAGGACUUCCAGUCCAGAUGGUGGACCAAACUGACCUGGGAUCCCAGUUCCCACUCUUAAAACAUAAAAUUUCUAGAUAAAAUACUGUUAAACUUAAAAUAUAUAUCCAAGCAGGAAUGCAAGAAAUAAACAUGAAGAGAAACCCUCAGCUGUGAGGGAAGAAUUGCAGCUAUGGCAUUUUAGACAAGUUGUGCUGAGGAAACAAGAAUUAGUGUUCAGGUCCCACGAGGGGAAGGAGCCCUGGCAAGACCCCAGCUCUGGAGGGCUCCACCUGGGAGCGUUAAGGACGGAGCCUUACCAAAAUCACAACCCUUACUCGACUCAGCUCUGCCCUGAUCGUUGAAGGUAAUCAGCCCCACUCUCUCUGCCUGGCAGAGAGCAAGGAGAACUUUUUCCAGAAGAAGAUAACACCAUUCAGAACCUCUGCAGUUUUUUUAAUGCACGUUAUCUAGGCCCUUUAAAAGAUAGGAUUAUAUGACUGAAAACCAAGAGGAAAAAUAAGAUAACAGAAUCAGACCUAGAGGUGACUAAAAGAUUGGAGAUAGCAAAAAAAAAACAAACUUUAAAAUAAAUAUGACUAAUAUGUUAAGGAAAAGGCAGGAGGAAAUGGAGAUACAUGGAAGAUAAUAUGGCGAAUUUCCCAGGAGAAUUGGAUUCUAUAAAAAAGAAACUGAGCAUCUUUAAUGGAAAAAUAAAUUAACUGAAACUAAAAAUUCAGUAGAUGGGUUUAAAAGCAGAUUAGACAAGUCAGAAGAAAGGGUUAGUGAACCAAAAGGUCAAUAGAAGCUGUGCAAACUUACAAAGAGAAAAAGGAAUGGAUAGAGGAAAAAAAAAGCAUAUGAUACGUGACAGGGAAAGUAAAAAAGUAGAGUGCCAGAAGAAAGAUAGAAUGGAGAAGUAAUGUCUGAAGAAAUAAUGCCUGAAAAAUUUUAAAACCUGUAAGACACUGUGAAAAUUAAUAAAGGGAAACCUCAUUUAAAAUAAAGUCAAGAGGCCAGAAAGGAAGCACUCUCACACAGUACCACCUGAGGUCAUUUGCAGGAAAGGUGGUCAAUUACAGACCCCAACAAGAAGAAAUGUACGUUGCAUCCCAAACAGAAAUCAACUACCCCAGCAACUCGGCCAAUGAGAAACCGUCACCACUCUGAAGUCUUGCUUUCCUCCAGUGGACUUUAGUUCAAAACAACCCCUCCCAAUUUCCUCCUUUUUCCCUGUAAAAUCACGUUCUUCUCCUUUGAUUGUUGGACCUGCCUAUGGCUUUUGCCACAGCCUGUGGGUCCUGAACUGCAAUUCCUUGCUUUUUCCUGAAUAAACUCAUUUUGCUGGUAGAAUUGGCUGUUUUAUUUUUCAGGUUGACAUACGUGGUGUCAGAAGUGGGAUCUGAAGGAGGCGACCCUCAAGAGACGAUGGGCCCCAGAAUUGAGCGAGGUACCUGCUCUGGGCCCCUGGAGCUCAUGGCUUCUGUGAGUCACGGCCUACUUUUGGUUUGAAGGGACUAUACCUCACUACCCGUAUGGCAGCCAAUCUUCAGGGACUUGAGCCUUGGUUGCACGUCUCACAGCUAAAGAAGGCUCCACCUGACAUCUGGUCCUUUACAAACACUGGAGACCUCAAGUCAAAUUGACCAGGAGGAGAAGUAGCUGACAUCUGAGGCAGAGAGCUUUCCCAAGACGACCAAACCAGGCCUGUAUAUCCUCUUCCCACUGUUGUUUCUUACUUUAUUUUCUCUCUCCCCUUCCUGGAAGGACGGUGACCUUGUCUGCAUUUCCCAAUCCCUUACAAAAGGGGGAAACCUCUUCUUUCGAUUAUAGGCUUUCAGAAACAGCCUCCUUACGAUCCUGCGACAAAUUAAUCUUUUCGCUUUCUUUUUCUGAAGGGUUAGAAAGUUCAGCAUUCACAGAAGUCUUUCUUUCAUCUGAACUGUUACCUGUCUCUGAGCUCUUAUCCAAAUCCAUGGUCUCUGAAUUUGCAACCCUACAGGCAGUAUUACUGGAUAACGCAUUUGACUCCCAAACAGUUAUUUCGAGAUGACAAUACUGUUUUAAUAUGUCUUUUUGAAUUUUUGCAAGAGUUCAUCAGCUAUUGCUUCAUGUUUAUUCCUGCACUGUCUUCCCAAUGCGCUCAGUUAAUUCUUUCAGUUUGAGUGUGCUCUUACCAUAUUUGCUGUUCUGUUUUCUCUUCAUAACAAAUCAGAAGCCUCUCACUGGUUCACCCCAUUAAGCCUCUAUUUAGCCGGUUACCUUCAGGUUUGGCCUCCUAGUUUGGAACCAUCAGACAAUUUGGAUUUGUCAUGUUACUUUCAAUUCUGUCUUGUAUAAAUACUUUAAGUUUUGUAUUUUAUUGCCUGUCAAACCUUUGUAAACAUGACGUACCUCAUGAGGUGACGUUAGCACAGCAAUCUGAAAUGAUUUCCAAUGCUUAUGACCUUGGAUGACUAUAGACUUUGAAUAAGAAGUGCCUGCGAGUUCUCCCUCCUAACCUUCCUGGUUUCUCAAGUGUGGCCUAAAUGGUUUCCAACCACUAUGCACUCUCCCUCCAACAUGGAUCAUGACGAGAAGGAAAGGUCCUUCCCGGCACCAAGGGACAAGACCACUAAGUGCAGAAAUCCUGACUCUCGAUCAGUGAUACUCUCAGAGAAUGAUCUUGAUCAGAAGGUAGGAAUGUGAAAAUUAAUAAAGGGAAACCCAUUUAAAAUGGAUUCUGGAGGCUGGAAGGAGGAGCUCUCACACAGUACCACUCAAGGUCAAUUACAAGAAAGACAGUCAAUUACAGACCCCACUAGAAAGAAGUCAUCAAUAGGAAGAAUCAUCACUUACAGACACCAACCAGAAGAAGCGUACGUUGUGUCCCAAACAGAAAUCAACUACCCCAGCAACUCAGCCAAUGAGAAACCAUCACCACUCUGAACUCUUGCUUUUCUCCUGUGGACUUUUGUUCAAAACAACCUCUCCCAAUUUCCUCCUUUUUUCCUAUAAAAUGACAUUCUUCUCCUUUGAUCAUUGGCUUUUGCUAUAGAAUGUGGGUCUCAAAUUGCAAUUCUUUGUUUUUUUCCUGAAUAAACUCAUUUUGCUGGUAAAAUAA
Molecule: non-coding RNA, 7007 nt
Organism: Equus caballus (horse)
Lineage: Eukaryota; Metazoa; Chordata; Mammalia; Perissodactyla; Equidae
Source: RefSeq, a predicted model, not a curated record